This 803-nucleotide ribosomal RNA is filed under the name Ophiothrix oerstedii. Its description in RNAcentral is "eukaryotic LSU rRNA". It matches the Rfam family "Eukaryotic large subunit ribosomal RNA", at positions 903 to 1645 of the family's 3401-position model. The record is from RNAcentral. Lineage: Eukaryota; Metazoa; Echinodermata; Ophiuroidea; Amphilepidida; Ophiotrichidae.
CGCCCGACUUGGGUAUAGGGGCGAAAGACUAAUCGAACCAUCUAGUAGCUGGUUCCCUCCGAAGUUUCCCUCAGGAUAGCUGGCGCUCGGGGACCUUCAAACAGUCAUAUGUUCUAUCUGGUAAAGCGAAUGAUUAGAGGUCUUGGGGUCGAAACGACCUCAACCUAUUCUCAAACUUUAAAUUGGUAUGAACUCUAGCUCGCUGACUUGGAGCCGGAGGAACCUCACAGGUAGAAAUGAGAGCGCCCAGUGGGCCACUCUUGGUAAGCAGGACUGGCGCUGCGGGAUGAACCGUACGCCUGGUUAAAGCGCUUCACUUCCCGCUCUAUGUCGCUCAUCAGACCCCAGAAAAGGUGUUGGUUGAUAUAGACAGCAGGACGGUGGCCAUGGAAGUUGGAAUCCGCUAAGGAGUGUGUAACAACUCACCUGCCGAAUCAAUCAGCCCUGAAAAUGGAUUGCGCUGAGCGUGACGCUUAUACCAGGCCGUCGGCGGUAGUGCCGUACACCCCGACGAGUAGGAGGGACGCCGUGGUGAGCAACGAAGCGAUGGCCGCGAGGCCACGCGGAGCCGCCACGGGCGCAGAUCUUGGUGGUAGUAGCAAAUACUCAAGUGAGAGCCUUGAGGGCCGAGUUGUGGAGAAGGGUUCCAUGUGAACAGCUGUUGCACAUGGGUCAGUCGAUCCUAAGUUCUAGGGAAGUUCCGCUCUGAGCGGCGACGCGAGCCCGCCUCGUGUGGGUUAGCGUCCCCUGGACGAAAGGGAAUCGGGUCAAUAUUCCCGAACCUGAAGGCGGAGCCCGCCACU